CAAUAGCGUAUAUUAAAGUUGUUGCAGUUAAAAAGCUCGUAGUUGGAUUUGUGGCGUACGGUGUGUUCCGGGCACUUGUUGUCUGAGUAACCUGCUGUUGCCAUCCUUGGGUGGAACCUGUGUGGCAUUAGGUUGUCGUGCAGGGGAUGCCCAUCAUUUACUGUGAAAAAAUUAGAGUGUUCAAAGCAGGCUUAUGCCGUUGAAUAUAUUAGCAUGGAAUAAUGAGAUAGGACUUUCUUGCUAUUUUGUUGGUUUGCGCAAAGAGGUAAUGAUUAAUAGGGACAGUUGGGGGUAUUCGUAUUCCAUUGUCAGAGGCGAAAUUCUUGGAUUUUUGGAAGACGAACUACUGCGAAAGCAUUUACCAAGGAUGUUUUCAUUAA
RNAcentral lists this ribosomal RNA (380 nucleotides) under uncultured eukaryote. RNAcentral's name for it is "partial 18S ribosomal RNA". It matches the Rfam family "Eukaryotic small subunit ribosomal RNA", at positions 592 to 976 of the family's 1831-position model. The record is from RNAcentral.